RNAcentral lists this unclassified non-coding RNA (605 nucleotides) under Borreliella garinii. RNAcentral describes it as "partial miscellaneous RNA". The record is from RNAcentral. Lineage: Bacteria; Pseudomonadati; Spirochaetota; Spirochaetia; Spirochaetales; Borreliaceae.
GGUUAUUGUCGGUUUUGAUUAUAAGGUGUUGAGCCAGCCCUAGCGAGGAGUUCAAUCUUCAUUUUUUAUUAUCGAUGCAUAAUGGUAUAGCCCUAGAUAAGACUGCAAGCGAUAAGUCAGCGGAAGAUGAGAAGGUCUAAAGUCAUUGUUCUAAUCUAUAAGAAAGUAAGGUAUGUGAGGUAUGUUUAGUGUGGGGUUAAAGGCUUAGUAAGGCAGCUGUAUUAUAAAAUAUGUUUGUUUUUAAGAUAAAGAUAAAUUAAGAUGAAUUUCAUUAAUUCUUCUCUGUAUUUUUAUUUUGAUGAAAAUUUUUUUAAGUCAAAGUAAAUUUUUAGUUUAAACUUUAGAAAAAAUAAAUCUUUGGUAAGUAUUUAGUGUUAUAUAGUUUAGUAUUGAAUUAAGCGUUGUUAAUAGUAGAUCAUAAUUUUAAAUUUUGAAGUGAAAGGCUUUUAUAUUGCUAGAUGUGCAUUUUAAAUCUAAUAUAACGGCAAUUGGCCAUUUUAAAGUUGAGAUUAUAUUCUAAAUAUUACUUAAUAUUUACCAAAUUUUUUAUUGUUUUGAUUAAUUGGCUUAAAGGAAUACCGAAGUGAUUAUAAUAAUGGAACACA